Molecule: long non-coding RNA, 698 nt
Organism: Strongylocentrotus purpuratus (purple sea urchin)
Lineage: Eukaryota; Metazoa; Echinodermata; Echinoidea; Camarodonta; Strongylocentrotidae
Exons: 4
Source: RefSeq, a predicted model, not a curated record
CCAAAGACGUUUAAAUAUAAUUACUAGACGGAAAGCAGCACGCGCGGAAACCAUGCAGACGAAUGGGAUUAGGCUCCGCCUCUUUUGGAUCAUUUGAAGACAAAAUAAGCACCCGAGGCGGCUUUUUGAUUGGAUAUGAGCCUCAUGAAUAUGUAUUUUAUCGAUAGUAUCGUUUAAGAAACCGGAUAAUAUAUUUGACCUCAUUGCGUCACUUUAAUUAUGCAGAUUUAUGCACGACGCAGGCUACUCGCACAAACUGAGAAGAUUUAGUUCAUUGAGAAUGGAUGGAAACUGAUGAAGAGCUGGAAGGAGUUAACUGAUGAGUAGACAUUACAACAUUCUUAUAUUUUCAAGAUGAAGCUGAAAGUCCCAUGCAGGAUGAUGCUUCUCUACAGUGGAUGAUGAAAGCAUGCUGAUUACAAACCCAGGAGAGGAAUAAAGAACAGAUAUUGACAGAAUCAUAUCUAGAGAUGUGGGCCUACUGCACUUCAUACAAGCAAGUGUGCUAAUAUACCAUACUUGGGUUAUCAUCACAGCCCUUUCUUCUGAAAACUAGCCUACAACUUCAUUGAUGAAUGCAGAAGACAUCUACAUGGGACUACGUCUUAAAGAUGCCACCCUCAUAUAAUGAAAGAGGACAGUAGAGAUGGGUUUAAACUUGAAUAUUUACAUACUAUUUAUUUAUUAUUUGUAUUAUA